This 884-nucleotide long non-coding RNA is filed under the name Gossypium barbadense (sea-island cotton). RNAcentral's name for it is "long non-coding RNA (GBAR_LNC001211)". Lineage: Eukaryota; Viridiplantae; Streptophyta; Magnoliopsida; Malvales; Malvaceae. The record is from RNAcentral.
AUUAACUUAAUACUAAUCAUCAGUGUAAUAGGCCAAUAAAAACAAAAAAAUCAAACCAAAUCAAUAAAAGUCCAAAAUUUGCAGUCCAUGUUUUACAAAUAUCUGGGCCCAAUUUACAACAUGCAUAGCCCAAAUCAAAACUACCCAAACCCAAUUAAAACCCAAUUACAAAGCCCAAAACAAAUCAACCCUAGCCCACUCUUAACAUUUUCUGAGAGCAAAAGAACCCUAGCCACCUCUGCCUUCAGCCGCCACUCAGCCCCAUGCGCGCCGCACGUUAGCAGGGCUUUUCCCUCACGCUAUCGCCGGCCUUCACGUGUAUCUGACCCCUCUGACACUUGCAAAUAAGAAUCCACACGCAAACAGUAGCAGACAACAAGCAAAAGAAAAAAAUGGAUCUGUGUAACUCGGCUAUAAAAGCCGAAAUAAAUCCCUCUGUAAUUUUUUACACACACUAGUAAUUCAAAAAAGCAAAACAGAAGUUUGAAAAGAUUGAUUUUGAUUUUCUUUACUUGUUUUCUUUUCGUUUUCCAGUUUCUUUUUAUUUUUUAUUAUAAAUCUAUUUAAUAAAAAAAGGGGCGUAAAAUAAGAAGAGGAUGAAGGGAAAACUUACCUAAAAUCCUCCGUGGUUGUGUCGUCCGGGUCCUUCUCACCGUCCCUGAAAUCGAACCCAAAAGAGGGAAGAGAGAGACAUUUUUCUCUCGAUCCGUGGGCUGAGAAGGCUUAGCCUUUAAACAUGUAACAGGGCUGAAAAGCCCGUUCUGUGCCGCUCCGACCACCAUCCACGGCGGAGGAGCGGCGGGAUGGCAACGGCGCCCCAAGGCUAGGUCAAAACCCUAACAGAGAAAAUAGGGAGGGGUUUAAAAGUUUUAUUUAAAAAAAAA